UGUCCAGGGAUGGGAAUCGAACCCAUAGUGUUCCGCUUACCAGGCAGAUGCCAUGCCUAUCUUCAGCUAACUAUAAC
Non-coding RNA from Cordylochernes scorpioides, 77 nucleotides. Lineage: Eukaryota; Metazoa; Arthropoda; Arachnida; Pseudoscorpiones; Chernetidae. The record is from the annotation of a GenBank genome assembly.